CAGCAGCCGCGGUAAUACAGAGGGUGCGAGCGUUAAUCGGAUUUACUGGGCGUAAAGCGUGCGUAGGCGGCUAAUUGAGUCGGAUGUGAAAUCCCCGAGCUUAACUUGGGAAUUGCAUUCGAUACUGGUUAGCUAGAGUGUGGGAGAGGAUGGUAGAAUUCCAGGUGUAGCGGUGAAAUGCGUAGAGAUCUGGAGGAAUACCGAUGGCGAAGGCAGCCAUCUGGCCUAACACUGACGCUGAGGUACGAAAGCAUGGGGAGCAAACAGGAUUAGAUACCCGGGUAGUCCCUGUCUCUUAUAC
RNAcentral lists this ribosomal RNA (301 nucleotides) under uncultured bacterium. RNAcentral's name for it is "partial 16S ribosomal RNA". It matches the Rfam family "Bacterial small subunit ribosomal RNA", at positions 509 to 807 of the family's 1533-position model. The record is from RNAcentral.